CUUUCUUUGAUUUUCUUUCUUCUCCUUCUUCUCUGUAUUAUUGUUUUUUUGAUGUUACUUCUUUGCAUCCGGGAAGUGUUGCAUGAGGUUCUACCUGGAAGCGCUGUUCACUUUGUUACUGGAUUUUUGAAGUCAAUGGAUGGCUUAAAAUUGUGAUUACCAAGAAUAAGUAAGGAUAGAUAUUAGAGCUACCAUUCAUUAAGCUCGCUGGUAUAGAGAAGAAGAGUUGUUUAAUUGGAGUCUCGAGAGGAAAUGGAACUAGAAAGCUCGACGAAAGGGAUAAGUUUGUAUGAAUUUUCAAUAUCCUUAUCCACAAAGGGAAAGAACUAAAAGACCACUAUCAUACACGGACAAGCGGCAAUUUAAGUUCCAGGGGAUGGAAAAACUUCGCCCUUAGGCCUGAUAGAUGCAUUAGUAAUGAGCAGAAAGACAUUGCACAACUCUUUGCUCCUUAACUUGCUGCUUGAGGAAACCUCAUUCAAUUGAUUCUACAGCUUUGAAGAUGUAUUGGAAGUUUAUGAACAAGGAGCUCCGGGUUUUCUUAAGCAUCCAAUGCAACACUUUGUGAGAGGUAAUUGACUUUAGCUAGACCCCCCUCUGUAAUUAUUCCUUUGCGUUGCGUUUUCCUGAAAUUGUACGUUGUAGAAACAGAGAAGCAAGCUUGGAUGUCAGAUGAAGAAUUUGGAAGACAGAUGCUAGCUGGAUUAAAUUCCAUGUGCAUUCUGAGCUCAUCUUUAUUUAAAGCAUUAACAAAUUUGAAAUUUUGGUUCGACAUGUGGGUGGAGAGGUCCAAAGUGUUCACUUUGACAAAGUUUAAAAUCUGUUGAUUUUGAUAUCAAGAAAGAGAAUUAGUUUAGUUUUUCCCUUGCAGAUUACUGUAAUUGGGCCCAUGCUAAGCACUAGUCGCUUUUAGAAAGUGAUUUACUUUUUGCCGCUAAACUAAGCGAAAUAUUCCGGUGAAAGGGGUUCUUAAAUCUUUACAGAUUCUAUUUGCGAGGUAAAAAGUUGAUGUGCUGUCCCAUCUAAGCUGCUACAUGUUAAUAGAAGGGUCUUGUAACCAAAAAAUUACUUUUUGAGCUAAUUUAAAUUUUCUGCUCUGACAUCAAGGUUUAUAGAGUGGGGAUGGAACAUGGUCUUUUAUUUAAAGCAUUCUGUUUUAUGAGAUCUUUAUAGUAACUAUGAGAUUAUUCGUGUCUGUGCGUUUAAAUCAACUAAUUUCAUUUGUCCUUUUAUUUCAUUUUUACCUGAUUUUGUAUAUUCUUUAAUGAAGUUCUUUAAUUUCAUUUUCUUUUGGUGCCUAUUCUUUGGAUUGUUACUGACAUAUUUUGUCCUUUGAUGGUUUCCUUUCUGCCCUGUUAUUUUAGUAGCUUCUGCUGCAACAGGAAAGAAAGGUGGAUGAGGGAUUGAAAAAAUUGAGCGAACUUAUAGUAGCUUCUUGAAAUCCUACUAGCUGGCGUUGGUAGUUGUAGAAGAACUGAGGAUUGGGCCUAAAGUAAUCAAGAAGCUGGAGACAUCUUCUUUAUGCAAGAAGAUGAAGGCGAGUAAUUACAUUUUGGAUGGACUCAACAACACUGCCCAAAAAAUCAAGUAUGAAUAUUACCAAUUUCAAUUUCCUGCAUUCUAUGUUUCUGCUCAGUUCUUUUUCUAAUCUGAAAAAAUAAUUGCAUAGCUUUGGGUUUUAAAAUGUGACACACAGUUCCUAUGGAGCCAAAUCCUCCUAACAUGGCAAUAGAUUUAGUUAUUCCCGCACUUAAGCUGAAAAGAUCACGACUGCUUGACCAUUAUGAGGUAGCUCUUCUUUUGAGAAGAAGACAUAGAGCACAUGUGGAUGUUGUGGACAAGAAAUGAUGCACGGCACUUGAACAAGCUUCAGAUGAGUUGGCGUUCAAAU
Lycium ferocissimum is the source of this 1891-nucleotide long non-coding RNA. RefSeq lists it as uncharacterized. Lineage: Eukaryota; Viridiplantae; Streptophyta; Magnoliopsida; Solanales; Solanaceae. The record is from RefSeq and is a predicted model, not a curated record. The transcript is spliced from 5 exons.